This 435-nucleotide ribosomal RNA is filed under the name uncultured bacterium. Its description in RNAcentral is "partial 16S ribosomal RNA". It matches the Rfam family "Bacterial small subunit ribosomal RNA", at positions 29 to 507 of the family's 1533-position model. The record is from RNAcentral.
AGCGAACGCUGGCGGCAGGCUUAACACAUGCAAGUCGAGCGGGCACUUUCGGGUGUCAGCGGCGGACGGGUGAGUAACGCGUGGGAACGUGCCCUCUGGUUCGGAAUAACUCAGGGAAACUUGAGCUAAUACCGGAUACGCCCUUUUGGGGAAAGGCUUGCUGCCGGAGGAUCGGCCCGCGUCUGAUUAGCUAGUUGGUGAGGUAACGGCUCACCAAGGCGACGAUCAGUAGCUGGUCUGAGAGGAUGAUCAGCCACACUGGGACUGAGACACGGCCCAGACUCCUACGGGAGGCAGCAGUGGGGAAUAUUGGACAAUGGGCGCAAGCCUGAUCCAGCCAUGCCGCGUGAGUGAUGAAGGUCUUAGGGUUGUAAAGCUCUUUUAUCCGGGACGAUAAUGACGGUGCCGGAGGAAUAAGCCCCGGCUAACUUCGUG